RNAcentral lists this ribosomal RNA (317 nucleotides) under uncultured eukaryote. Its description in RNAcentral is "partial 18S ribosomal RNA". It matches the Rfam family "Eukaryotic small subunit ribosomal RNA", at positions 1470 to 1796 of the family's 1831-position model. The record is from RNAcentral.
CCCUUAGAUGUUCUGGGCCGCACGCGCGCUACACUGAUCGGUGCAACAAGCAUCCGUCCUUGGCCGACAGGCCCGGGCAAUCUUUGAACGCCGGUCGUGAUGGGGAUAGACCUUUGCAAUUUUUGGUCUUCAACGAGGAAUUCCUAGUAAACGCAAGUCAUCAACUUGCAUUGAUUACGUCCCUGCCCUUUGUACACACCGCCCGUCGCACCUACCGAUUGAAUGGUCCGGUGAAACCUCCGGAUUGGCGCGUGCCCUCGGGCGCCGCCGAGAAGUUGGUUAAACCUUAUCAUUUAGAGGAAGGUGAAGUCGUAACA